AACCAGUACCGUGAGGGAAAGGUGAAAAGCACCCCGGAAGGGGAGUGAAAUAGAACCUGAAACCGUGUGCUUACAAGUAGUCAGAGCCCGUUAAUGGGUGAUGGCGUGCCUUUUGUAGAAUGAACCGGCGAGUUACGAUUUGAUGCAAGGUUAAGCAGUAAAUGUGGAGCCGUAGCGAAAGCGAGUCUGAAUAGGGCGUUUAGUAUUUGGUCGUAGACCCGAAACCAGGUGAUCUACCCUUGGUCAGGUUGAAGUUCAGGUAACACUGAAUGGAGGACCGAACCGACUUACGUUGAAAAGUGAGCGGAUGAACUGAGGGUAGCGGAGAAAUUCCAAUCGAACCUGGAGAUAGCUGGUUCUCUCCGAAAUAGCUUUAGGGCUAGCCUCAAGUGAUGAUUAUUGGAGGUAGAGCACUGUUUGGACGAGGGGCCCCUCUCGGGUUACCGAAUUCAGACAAACUCCGAAUGCCAAUUAAUUUAACUUGGGAGUCAGAACAUGGGUGAUAAGGUCCGUGUUCGAAAGGGAAACAGCCCAGACCACCAGCUAAGGUCCCAAAAUAUAUGUUAAGUGGAAAAGGAUGUGGCGUUGCCCAGACAACUAGGAUGUUGGCUUAGAAGCAGCCAUCAUUUAAAGAGUGCGUAAUAGCUCACUAGUCGAGUGACACUGCGCCGAAAAUGUACCGGGGCUAAACAUAUUACCGAAGCUGUGGAUUGUCCUUUGGACAAUGGUAGGAGAGCGUUCUAAGGGCGUUGAAGCAUGAUCGUAAGGACAUGUGGAGCGCUUAGAAG
Molecule: ribosomal RNA, 788 nt
Filed under: Staphylococcus aureus
Lineage: Bacteria; Bacillati; Bacillota; Bacilli; Caryophanales; Staphylococcaceae
Description: partial 23S ribosomal RNA
Rfam family: Bacterial large subunit ribosomal RNA
Source: RNAcentral